GGUUAAGCGACUAAGCGUACACGGUGGAUGCCCCGGCAGUCAGAGGCGAUGAAGGACGUGCUAAUCUGCGAUAAGGCCGGCAGAUAUGAACCGUUAUAACGCACAUUUCCGAAUGGGGAAACCAGUGUGAUUCGUCACACUAUCAUUAAUCGAAUCCAUAGGUUAAUGAGGCGAACCGGGGGAACUGAAACAUCUGGUACCCCGAGGAAGAAAUCAACCGAGAUUCCCAGUAGCGGCGAGCGAACGGGGGAGCAGCCCAGAGCCUGCCAGAAUCAGUGUGUGUGUGUUAGUAGCGUUCGAAAGGCGCGCGCGAUACAGGGUGAUGUUCUGCACAUAAAAACACAUGCUGUGAGCUCGAUGAGUAGGGCGGGACACGUGGUAUCCUGUCUGAAUAUGGGGGACCAUCCUCCAAGGCUAAAUAAUCUCUGACUGACCAUACUAAACCAGUACCGCAGGUGCGAAAAGAAACCCCGGCGAGGGGAGGAAAGAACCGAAACGUGUACGUACAAGAGUGGGAGCAUCGCUGAGCGGUGACUGCGCACCUUUUGUAUAAUGGGUCAGCGACUUAUAUUCUGUAGCAAGGUUAACCGAAUAGGUUUUCAAGGGAAACCGAGUCUUAACUGCGCGUUGCAGGGUAUAGACCUCGAAACCCGGUGAUUCAGCCUAUGGGCAGGUUGAAGGUUGGGUAACACUAACUGGAGACCGGAACCGAUCAAUGUUGAAAAAUUGUGCUGGAUGACUUGUGGCUGGGGGUGAAAGCGUCAAUCAAACCGGGAGAUAGCUGUUCCUCCCCGAAAGCUUUAGGUAGCGCCUCGUGAAUUCCAUCUCCGGGGAGAUAACCAGCUUCGGCAAGGGGUCAUCCUGACUUACCAACCCGAUGCAAACUGCGAAUACCGGAGAAUGUUAUCACCGGGACACACGGCGGGUGCUAACGUCCGUCGUGAAGAGGGAAAACAACCCAGACCGCCAGCUAAGGUCCCAAAGUCAUGGUUAAGGGAAAACGAUGUGGGAAGGCCCAGACAGCCGAUGUUGGCUUAGAAGCAGCCAUCAUUUAAAGAGUGCAAUAGCUCACUGGUCGAGUCGGCCCGCGCGGAAGAUGUAACGGGCUAAACCAUGCACCGAAGUUGCAAGCAGCACGCUAUGCGUUGUUGCAGGGUUGCCCUGCAAGCCCGUGAAGGUGUGCGCGCUGGGGAGGCAUGCUGGAGGUAUCAGAAGUGCGAAUGCCGAUAAGUAACGAUAAGCGGGUGAAAAGCCCGCUCGCCGAAAGACCAAGGGUUCCUGUCCAACGUUAAUCGGGGCAGGUGAGUCGACCCUAAGGCGAGGCCGAAAGGCGUAGUCGAUGGAAACAGGUUAAUAUUCCUGUACUGGUGUUACCGCGAAGGGGGGACGGGAGAGCAUAUGUUGACCGGGCGACGGUUGUCCCGGUUUAAGCGUGUAGGCUGGUUUUCCAGCAAACUGGAAAAAUCAAGGCUGAGGCGUGAUGACGAGGCACUACGGUGCUGAAGCAACAAAUGCCCUAAGCCUCAGAAAGCCUCUAAGCAUCAGGUAACAUCAAAUCGUACCUCAAACCGACACAGGUGGUCAGGUAUCGAGAAUACUAAGGCGCUUGAGAGAACUCGGGUGAAGGAACUAGCAAAAAAUGGUGCCGUAACUUCGGGAGAAGGCACGUUGAUAUGUAGGUGAAGUCCUGCGGAUGGAGCUGAAAUCAGUCGAAGAUACCAGCUGGCUGCAACUGUUUAUUAAAAACACAGCACUGUGCAAACACGAAAGUGGACGUAUACGGUGUGACGCCUGCCUGCGCCGGAAGGUUAAUUGAUGGGGUCAGCGCAAGCGAAGCUCUUGAUCGAAGCCCCCGGUAAACGGCGGCCGUAACUAUAACGGUCCAUGGUGGAAGGAAAUCUUUGUCGGUAAGUUCCGGACCUGCAAUGAAUGGCGUAAUGAUGGCUUCGUGCUGUUCCACCCGAGACUCACAGUGAAAUUGAACUGCUGUGAAGAUGCAGUGUACCCGCGGCAAGACGGAAAGACCCUGUGAACCUUACUAUAGCUUGACACCGAACAUUGAGCCUUGAUGUAGGGAUAGGUGGAGGCUUUUAAGUGUGGACGCCAGUCUGCAUGGAGCCGACCUUGAAAUACUCGUCUUUAAUGUUUGAUGUUCUAACGUUGACCCGUAAUCCGCUGCGGACAGUGUCUGGUGGGUAGUUUGACUGGGGCGGCCUCCUCCUAAAGAGUAACGGAGGAGCACGAAGGUUGGCUAACUCGUCGGACAUCAGGAGGUUAGGCAAUGGCAUAAGCCAGCUUGACCGCGAGCGUGACGGCGCGAGCAGGUGCGAAAGCAGGUCAUAGUGAUCCCGGUGGUCUAGUUUCGGAAGGGCCAUCGCUCAACGGAUAAAAGGUACCUGGGAUAACAGGCUGAUACCGCCCAAGAGUUCAUAUCGACGGCGGUGUUUGCACCUCGAUGUCGGCUCAUCACAUCCUGGCUGGCGGUAGGUCCUAGCGGUGCGCUGUUCGCCAUUAAAGUGGUACGCGAGCUGGCUGAACGUCGCGGGAGAAGGCUGGUCCCUAUUCGCCGUGGGCGCUGGAGAACUGAGGGGGGCUGCUCCUAGUACGAGAGGACCGGAGUGGACGCAUCACUGGUGUUCGGGUUGUCAUGCCAAUGGCACUGCCCGGUAGCUAAAUGCGGAAGAGAUAAGUGCUGAAAGCAUCUAAGCACGAAACUUGCCCCGAGAUGAGUUCUCCCUGACUCCUUGAGAGUCCUGAAGGAACGUUGAAGACGACGACGUUGAUAGGCCGGGUGUGUAAGCGCAGCGAUGCGUUGAGCUAACCGGUACUAAUGAACCGUGAGGCUUAACCUU
RNAcentral lists this ribosomal RNA (2852 nucleotides) under Escherichia coli. RNAcentral describes it as "23S ribosomal RNA". It matches the Rfam family "Bacterial large subunit ribosomal RNA". The record is from RNAcentral. Lineage: Bacteria; Pseudomonadati; Pseudomonadota; Gammaproteobacteria; Enterobacterales; Enterobacteriaceae.